UACAGAGGGUGCGAGCGUUGUCCGGAAUCACUGGGCGUAAAGGGCGCGUAGGCGGCCUGGUAAGUAGGGGGUGAAAUCCCACGGCUCAACCGUGGGGCUGCCUCCUCGACUGCCGGGCUCGAGCACAGUAGAGGCAGGUGGAAUUCCCGGUGUAGCGGUGGAAUGCGUAGAGAUCGGGAAGAACAUCGGUGGCGAAGGCGGCCUGCUGGGCUGUUGCUGACGCUGAGGCGCGACAGCGUGGGGAGCAAACAGGAUUAGAAACCCGUGUAGU
This 271-nucleotide ribosomal RNA is filed under the name uncultured bacterium. RNAcentral's name for it is "partial 16S ribosomal RNA". It matches the Rfam family "Bacterial small subunit ribosomal RNA", at positions 524 to 794 of the family's 1533-position model. The record is from RNAcentral.